Molecule: non-coding RNA, 160 nt
Organism: Oceanicaulis sp.
Lineage: Bacteria; Pseudomonadati; Pseudomonadota; Alphaproteobacteria; Maricaulales; Maricaulaceae
Source: Rfam
CGGUGACUGGAGUUCGCGUCAGGCUUUUACAUCCCAGGGACCUUACAUCUCUGAACGGGAGCUACCUCUGAUGUUGGCCGUGGCCUUCAUCAUGCGGCGCCCACCUGGUAGUCCAGGUCAUCAGGGUUGUUACACAGCCAACGGCCCGUCUGGUGCCGCC